Long non-coding RNA from Schistocerca gregaria, 480 nucleotides. RefSeq lists it as uncharacterized. The transcript is spliced from 3 exons. The record is from RefSeq and is a predicted model, not a curated record. Lineage: Eukaryota; Metazoa; Arthropoda; Insecta; Orthoptera; Acrididae.
GAAAACUUUAAUAACGGAAUUCAUAACUAAUUGUGUAAUGGUUUAACACAGAGCGGAGCAUAUCCAUUUAGCAGAGGAAGGAAGCAAGUGCCCACAGACUUCCAUGGAGAUAGCUAGAGUUUGGUGGGAGCUUGUCCUAUUUCCCUCAUACAAUGCAUUGUGAUUCCUACAAUGCACUGUGGAAAGCUGUGUUCUGGACAGAAAUUUUUUUCAGAGGGUCUGCAGUGAAGCGUCCUCCGUUCGUCGCCGAGGCGACUUUUCUGACCCUGGCGCUAGUUUGUCAGAGGGACUUUGAACGCGCCAUUCAGUUCUGUAGCGCAGUGCUGUCAGCGUCAAGCAGGCAGCAACGUCUGUCUCAACACGCCUGGGAAGACAAUGGUCGGAAACUGAAGGAAAAUGCGUAAGGUGGCAAUUAAUCUGAGAACUAUGGUGCAAUGUGAACAGAAAAUCUAAUGUUAUUUAUAAUGCUGUAGCCGAUAU